AUAAAAACGAAGAAAAAGAGGAGUACAUUUAUACUUAUUUAGUAGAGAAAAGAAGUCGAAGGCUGGGAGCUUCUUAAACAAAGGUAAAUGGAAGGUAGCUUUAGAGUUGAUAAUCUGACAAUAAACUUAAGAUUAUCCGUAUGCUGCGUUAAAGCAAAAUAAGAUGUUAUCAAAAAACAAAAUAGAUAAUAAUUAAGGUGGUACCGUGAGAUAUAAACUCGCCCUUAUG
This 229-nucleotide non-coding RNA is filed under the name Clostridium sp. RNAcentral's name for it is "T-box sequence". It matches the Rfam family "T-box leader". From Rfam's summary of the family: Uncharged tRNA acts as the effector for transcription antitermination of genes in the T-box leader family. The record is from RNAcentral. Lineage: Bacteria; Bacillati; Bacillota; Clostridia; Eubacteriales; Clostridiaceae.